RNAcentral lists this ribosomal RNA (1434 nucleotides) under uncultured bacterium. Its description in RNAcentral is "bacterial SSU rRNA". It matches the Rfam family "Bacterial small subunit ribosomal RNA". The record is from RNAcentral.
AGAGUUUGAUCCUGGCUCAGGACGAACGCUGGCGGCGUGCCUAAUACAUGCAAGUCGAGCGAGCUUGCCUAGAUGAUUUUAGUGCUUGCACUAAAUGAAACUAGAUACAAGCGAGCGGCGGACGGGUGAGUAACACGUGGGUAACCUGCCCAAGAGACUGGGAUAACACCUGGAAACAGAUGCUAAUACCGGAUAACAACACUAGACGCAUGUCUAGAGCAUGAAAGAUGGUUCUGCUAUCACUCUUGGAUGGACCUGCGGUGCAUUAUCUAGUUGGUAAGGUAACGGCUUACCAAGGCAAUGAUGCAUAGUCGAGUUGAGAGACUGAUCGGCCUCUUUGGGACUGAUACACGGCCCAAACUCCUAUCGGGAGGCUCCAUUUUGGUUUCUUCCACCAAUGGACUAAAGGUCUGAUGGAGCAACGCCGCGUGAGUGAAGUAGGAUUUGAAACUAGUAAAGAUCUGUUGGUAGUGAAGAAAGAUAGAGGUAGUAACUGGCCUUUAUUUGACGGUAAUUACUUAGAAAGUCACGGCUAACUACGUGCCAGCAGCCGCGGUAAUACGUAGGUGGCAAGCGUUGUCCGGAUUUAUUGGGCGUAAAGCGAGUGCAGGCGGUUCAAUAAGUCUGAUGUGAAAGCCUUCGGCUCAACCGGAGAAUUGCAUCAGAAACUGUUGAACUUGAGUGCAGAAGAGGAGAGUGGAACUCCAUGUGUAGCGGUGGAAUGCGUAGAUAUAUGGAAGAACACCAGUGGCGAAGGCGGCUCUCUGGUCUGCAACUGACGCUGAGGCUCGAAAGCAUGGGUAGCGAACAGGAUUAGAUACCCUGGUAGUCCAUGCCGUAAACGAUGAGUGCUAAGUGUUGGGAGGUUUCCGCCUCUCAGUGCUGCAGCUAACGCAUUAAGCACUCCGCCUGGGGAGUACGACCGCAAGGUUGAAACUCAAAGGAAUUGACGGGGGCCCGCACAAGCGGUGGAGCAUGUGGUUUAAUUCGAAGCAACGCGAAGAACCUUACCAGGUCUUGACAUCCAGUGCAAACCUAAGAGAUUAGGUGUUCCCUUCGGGGACGCUGAGACAGGUGGUGCAUGGCUGUCGUCAGCUCGUGUCGUGAGAUGUUGGGUUAAGUCCCGCAACGAGCGCAACCCUUGUCAUUAGUUGCCAUCAUUAAGUUGGGCACUCUAAUGAGACUGCCGGUGACAAACCGGAGGAAGGUGGGGAUGACGUCAAGUCAUCAUGCCCCUUAUGACCUGGGCUACACACGUGCUACAAUGGACGGUACAACGAGAAGCGAACCUGCGAAGGCAAGCGGAUCUCUUAAAGCUGUUCUCAGUUCGGACUGUAGGCUGCAACUCGCCUACACGAAGCUGGAAUCGCUAGUAAUCGCGGAUCAGCACGCCGCGGUGAAUACGUUCCCGGGCCUUGUACUCACCGCCCGUCA